UACAGAGGUGGCAAGCGUUGUUCGGAAUUACUGGGCGUAAAGGGCGAGUAGGUGGCCAUCUAAGUCAGACGUGAAAUCCCCCGGCUCAACCUGGGAACUGCAUUGGAAACUAACGGGCUCGAGUGUGGCAGAGGGGGGUGGAAUUCCACGUGUAGCAGUGAAAUGCGUAGAGAUGUGGAGGAACACCGAUGGCGAAGGCAGCCCCCUGGGCUAACACUGACGCUCAGGCACGAAAGCGUGGGGAGCAAACAGG
RNAcentral lists this ribosomal RNA (253 nucleotides) under uncultured bacterium. RNAcentral describes it as "partial 16S ribosomal RNA". It matches the Rfam family "Bacterial small subunit ribosomal RNA", at positions 524 to 776 of the family's 1533-position model. The record is from RNAcentral.